This is a non-coding RNA of Cavia porcellus (domestic guinea pig), 486 nucleotides long. Lineage: Eukaryota; Metazoa; Chordata; Mammalia; Rodentia; Caviidae. The record is from the annotation of a RefSeq genome assembly.
CCAACUUUAGAUUCAUAAUCUGCUCACAGCUUAUGAGAACUUACAGCUUCAUCCCUAGACAGGGCUGUGGUCUCUCAAGAAGGCAGCAGUGUGGUCUAAAAGAUGAGACUGCUGGGUCUGAUCCUGUGCCUGGUGACAGCUCUCCAUGGUGUCCUGUCCCAGGUGCAGCUGCAGGAGUCAGGGUCUGGCCUGGUGGGGCCCUCUCAGACCCUGUCCCUCACCUGCUCAGUUUCUGGAUUCUCCAUCACAACCAAUGGUUAUGCUUGGGGCUGGAUCCGUCAGCCUCCAGGAAAGAGCCUGGAGUGGAUGGGGCACAUAUGGUACGAUGCUGACACUUACUACAACCCAUCCAUUAAGAACCGCAUCUCCAUCUCCAGAGACACAGGAAAGAACCAGUUCUCCCUGCAGCUGAGCUCUAUCACUACAGAAGACACAGCCACCUAUUACUGCGCAAGAUACACAGUGCUUUAGUACAAUUGUGAGCCC